RNAcentral lists this ribosomal RNA (253 nucleotides) under uncultured bacterium. Its description in RNAcentral is "partial 16S ribosomal RNA". It matches the Rfam family "Bacterial small subunit ribosomal RNA", at positions 524 to 776 of the family's 1533-position model. The record is from RNAcentral.
UACAGAGGUCCCAAGCGUUGUUCGGAUUCAUUGGGCGUAAAGGGUGCGCAGGCGGUUAGGUAAGUCAGGUGUGAAAUCUCAGGGCUCAACCCUGAAACUGCACUUGAUACUGCUUGACUAGAGGACUGGAGAGGUGAUCGGAAUUCACGGUGUAGCAGUGAAAUGCGUAGAUAUCGUGAGGAAGGCCAGCGGCGAAGGCGGAUCACUGGACAGUUCCUGACGCUCAGGCACGAAGGCCAGGGGAGCAAACGGG